UCAGCCACCGCCAGCCACCCCAGCCCCUCACUGUCUCUCUCGCACUCAGUCCGCCACCGCCAGUAGGCCACCGUCGACGAGGACACGAGGCUCCUUGUGGGAAAGAAUAUGCUAGUUGAGUCACCUGUUCUUGGACACUGACAAGCAAGAAGGGCAUUGAGAGGAUUGGUGAGGCUUCAAGCUAUAGUUUGCGGAUGGCA
Ipomoea triloba (trilobed morning glory) is the source of this 200-nucleotide long non-coding RNA. RefSeq lists it as uncharacterized. The transcript is spliced from 3 exons. The record is from RefSeq and is a predicted model, not a curated record. Lineage: Eukaryota; Viridiplantae; Streptophyta; Magnoliopsida; Solanales; Convolvulaceae.